Molecule: ribosomal RNA, 526 nt
Filed under: Novocrania huttoni
Lineage: Eukaryota; Metazoa; Brachiopoda; Craniata; Craniida; Craniidae
Description: partial 16S ribosomal RNA
Rfam family: Bacterial large subunit ribosomal RNA
Source: RNAcentral
YGUCUUUGGAAUUUUAUCAAAGGCACAGCCUGCCCGGUGAGACGGUAGUUAAACGGCGGCAUUAGCGUGAUUGUCCAAAGGUAGCAUAUAAUACGCCUCUUAAUUAGUGGCUGGUAUGAAGGGUUAGACGUGGGAGUAGCUGUCUUCUGGGCAUAUAUAGAACUUAUUUUGUAGGUGAAUAGACCUUUUUUUGGUUUCGGGACGGGUAGACCCCGAUGAGCUUGAUAGCGGGUGAUAGGUUUUCAGCUAAGGUUUAGAUUAAUUAACUUGGUGUUAGGCUGUUACUUCUUUUGUUGGGAGAACCGAGAUCAUGAAUAAAUGAUUCCACUUUUUGAUGUAUUAAUAAUUAUGUUGACCUUUAUUGAAAGACAAUUUUUAGUUAGAAAAUGCUACCGCGGGGAUAACAGCACUAUCCUUUCGGAGAGAAUAAAUUGCAGAGAGGGUUUAUGACCUCGAUUUUGGGUCAGAUGAUUCUGGGUGAUAUAAGAGCUCGCCCAAUGAUGGACUGUUCGUCCUUUAAAUUUCU